CCUACGGGCGGCAGCAGUGAGGAAUAUUGGUCAAUGGCCGGAAGGCUGAACCAGCCAUGCCGCGUGAAGGUCAGUGCCCUAUGGGCGUUAAACUUCUUUUGUGCGGGAGCAAUAAUGGUCACGUGUGGCCAGACGAGAGUACCGUACGAAUAAGCAUCGGCUAACUCCGUGCCAGCAGCCGCGGUAAUACGGGGGAUGCAAGCGUUAUCCGGAGUUACUGGGUUUAAAGGGUGCGUAGGAUGGGAGGUAAGGCAGCAGUGGAAUGCCCCGGCUCAACGGGGUGAAGUGCCAUUGAUACUGGCUUGCUGGAGUGCGGAUGCGGUAGGAGGAAUGUGUGGUGUAGCGGUGAAAUGCAUAGAUAUCACACAGAACACCGAUUGCGAAGGCAUCUCACGAGUCCGCGAUUGACGCUGAUGCACGAAAGCGUGGGUAUCAAACAGGAUUAGAGACCCGUGUAGUC
RNAcentral lists this ribosomal RNA (460 nucleotides) under uncultured bacterium. RNAcentral describes it as "partial 16S ribosomal RNA". It matches the Rfam family "Bacterial small subunit ribosomal RNA", at positions 338 to 795 of the family's 1533-position model. The record is from RNAcentral.